This 468-nucleotide ribosomal RNA is filed under the name uncultured bacterium. RNAcentral describes it as "partial 16S ribosomal RNA". It matches the Rfam family "Bacterial small subunit ribosomal RNA", at positions 28 to 507 of the family's 1533-position model. The record is from RNAcentral.
GACGAACGCUGGCGGCGUGCCUAAUACAUGCAAGUCGAACGGAAAGGCCCUGCUUUUGUUGGGUGCUCGAGUGGCGAACGGGUGAGUAACACGCGAGUAACCUGCCCUUGUCUUUCGGAUAACUUCACGAAACUGGGGCUAUUACCGGAUAGGAGCUCCUGCAGCACGUUGGUGGAAGGAAAGUUUCGGUGGUUCGGGAUGGAAUUGAGGCUUAUCAGCUUGUUUGUGUGGUUGUGGCUUACAAAGGCUUUGACGGGUAGCCGGCCUGAGAGGGUGACCGGCCACAUUGGGCCUGAGAUACGGCCCAGACUGCUACGGGAGGCAGUAGUGGAGAAUAUUGCACAAUGGGCGGAAGUCUGAUGCAGCGACGCCGCGUGCGGGAUGACGUCCUUCGGGUUGUAAACCGCUUUCGCCUGUGACGAAGCGUGAGUGACGGUAAUGGGUAAAGAAGCACCGGCUAACUACGUG